UCCAUGAAAGCGUGAUGCAAGAAAAGCUCCAGUAGGAGCAAAGUGCUUACUUGUUCUGCGUACUUGGAGAAGUUCAGGGUCUAGACCCAUGGUCCCAAUGCCAGCAGUGAGAGUGUUGUCGUCUUGUCCUCGUGGCUCCUUUCAAGCAUGAAGACCCACCCUCAAUCCAUGUCCUCUAAAGUUGCAAGAACCACCUUUUAGAGUUUACAGAAGACCACCUGAGAUACCCAGCCUUGUGACCUAAACAACCC
Mastomys coucha (southern multimammate mouse) is the source of this 251-nucleotide long non-coding RNA. RefSeq lists it as uncharacterized. Lineage: Eukaryota; Metazoa; Chordata; Mammalia; Rodentia; Muridae. The record is from RefSeq and is a predicted model, not a curated record. The transcript has 3 exons.